CGGCCGGGGCCCCUAAGUAUAAGCAAUUAUACAGCGAAACUGCGAAUGGCUCAUUAUAUAAGUUAUCGUUUAUUUGAUAGUACCUUACUACUUGGAUAACCGUGGUAAUUCUAGAGCUAAUACAUGCUAAAAAUCCCGACUUCGGAAGGGAUGUAUUUAUUAGAUUAAAAACCAAUGCCCUCCGGGGCUCACUGGUGAUUCAUGAUAACUCCUCGAAUCGCAUGGCCUUGCGCCGGCGAUGGUUCAUUCAAAUUUCUUCCCUAUCAACUUUCGAUGUUUGGGUAUUGGCCAAACAUGGUUGCAACGGGUAACGGAGGGUUAGGGCUCGACCCCGGAGAAGGAGCCUGAGAAACGGCUACUACAUCCAAGGAAGGCAGCAGGCGCGCAAAUUACCCAAUCCCGACUCGGGGAGGUAGUGACAAUAAAUACUGAUACAGGGCUCUUUUGGGUCUUGUAAUUGGAAUGAGUACAAUUUAAAUCCCUUAACGAGGAACAAUUGGAGGGCAAGUCUGGUGCCAGCAGCCGCGGUAAUUCCAGCUCCAAUAGCGUAUAUUAAAGUUGUUGUGGUUAAAAAGCUCGUAGUUGAACCUUGGGCCUGGCUGGCCGGUCCGCCUCACCGCGUGUACUGGUCCGGCCGGGCCUUUCCCUCUGUGGAACCCCAUGCCCUUCACUGGGUGUGGCGGGGAAACAGGACUUUUACUGUGAAAAAAUUAGAGUGCUCCAGGCAGGCCUAUGCUCGAAUACAUUAGCAUGGAAUAAUAGAAUAGGACGUGUGGUUCUAUUUUGUGGGUUUCUAGACCGCCGUAUGAUAUAGGGACAGUCGGGGGCAUCAGUAUUUCAAUUGUCAGAGUGAAUCCUGGAAUUUAUUGGAGACUACUACUGCAAGCAUUGGCAACGGAAUGUUUCAUUAAUCCAAG
RNAcentral lists this ribosomal RNA (917 nucleotides) under Fusarium oxysporum. RNAcentral describes it as "SSU rRNA". It matches the Rfam family "Eukaryotic small subunit ribosomal RNA", at positions 55 to 981 of the family's 1831-position model. Lineage: Eukaryota; Fungi; Ascomycota; Sordariomycetes; Hypocreales; Nectriaceae. The record is from RNAcentral.